GGGCGAUUAGCUCAGCUUGGCUAGAGCGCUUGCUCGACACGCAAGAGGUCACCUGUUCAAGUCAGGUAUCGCCCA
Molecule: transfer RNA, 75 nt
Filed under: bacterium
Lineage: Bacteria
Also listed under: 1 other name
Description: tRNA-Val
Rfam family: tRNA
About the family: Transfer RNA (tRNA) molecules are approximately 80 nucleotides in length.
Source: RNAcentral